RNAcentral lists this ribosomal RNA (600 nucleotides) under uncultured bacterium. RNAcentral's name for it is "partial 16S ribosomal RNA". The stretch from base 1 to 449 matches the Rfam family "Bacterial small subunit ribosomal RNA", at positions 97 to 540 of the family's 1533-position model. The record is from RNAcentral.
GGCGGACGGGUGAGUAAUGUCAGGAACUGCCUGAUGGAGGGGGAUAACUACUGAAACGGUAGCUAAUACCGCGUAACGUCGCAAGACCAAGAGGGACCUCGGGCCUCUUGCCCAUCAGAUGUGCCCAGAUGGGAUGGCUAUAGGUGGUACGGUCACCUAGCGACGAUCCCUAGCUGGUCUGAGAGGAUGACCAGCCACACUGGAACUGAGACACGGUCCAGACUCCUACGGGAGGCAGCAGUGGGGAAUAUUGCACAAUGGGCGCAAGCCUGAUGCAGCCAUGCCGCGUGUAUGAAGAAGGCCUUCGGGUUGUAAAGUACUUUCAGCGGGGAGGAAGGUGUGGGUAAUAACCACAAUUGACGUUACCGACAGAAGAAGGCACCGGUUAACUCCGGGCCAAAGCAAGGCCCGGGCGGGUAAAACUUAACCGGCAAGGGGGUGGCCAAACGCGGGUUAAAAUCCGGGAAAUUUUCACCUGGGGGGCCGGUUUAAAAAAGGCGCACACGCGGACAGAGGGGGCGGGGGAGGGAAUUUGGGAAGGUUCCACAGAACUUGGUGAAACAUUCCCCCCCGGGGGGCAUUAAAACACCCCGGAGGAAA